The sequence is a transfer RNA, 72 nucleotides long. It matches the Rfam family "tRNA". Rfam says of the family: Transfer RNA (tRNA) molecules are approximately 80 nucleotides in length. Their secondary structure includes four short double-helical elements and three loops (D, anti-codon, and T loops). The record is from Rfam.
GCCGAAGUAGCACAGGGGUAGUGCAACUGAUUCGUAAUCAGUAGGUCGGAGGUUCAAAUCCUCUCUUCGGCA